Long non-coding RNA from Centropristis striata (black sea bass), 766 nucleotides. RefSeq lists it as uncharacterized. The transcript is spliced from 3 exons. Lineage: Eukaryota; Metazoa; Chordata; Actinopteri; Perciformes; Serranidae. The record is from RefSeq and is a predicted model, not a curated record.
GUCCAGACAGAUGCGCCACCACUCCACGGCCACCAGAGGACUGGGGACGGCCAUGUAGCGCUUCUGGUUGCGGAAGCGGCGUCCGUCCUUGCUGUUACUGUGGGGAAUGUCGACGUAGUUGAGCUCAGAACGCAGCACGUCUUCUUUCCCAGUUUGAAUGAGCCAGCCAAGCCGCGACCUUUGACCCGGAUGACCAGGCCUUCAUCGAUCAGCUUCACCAGCGUCUUCUUGAUGUGGUUGCGGUUUUUUAGCAGGUCGUAACCCAUCCAGUUGACGGCCUGGCUCUGAUACAGUCUGAGAACAGGAAUCAGAGCUUUAUGCUGGACGUCGUAAGUCGUCUCCCGGCUCUCUCUUUGGUGCACAUGCCUGACGUAGUCAUAGAGCUCCUCCACGUUUUGCCUCUCCAAGUCGGUGUCACAUUCCUCCUCCUCCUCAUUCUCUACAACUUCUACAUGAAAAAACAGCAGUGAAAUCAAGUUAUAACUGAGAACUUUGACGACAGGAUGCAUUAGACAUUAGGACAUAAGCAUUACCGGGGAUGAUGAAAUCGUAGAAAUAUUCCAUUAGCUUCUGCAUUAAUUGAUUUGCUUUCCUCAUCCGAGCGUUUCCCUCACUGAGGAACUCCGGCUUCCCGAGCCCAGUUUCCAGCAGGUAAAUCCCCACCUGAAGGAAGAAAUGUCAUGUUUUAAUACUGUGAACCACAACAUUAGAUGUGGCUCUUAUUAACAUGUCAAUCUCCAUUUCUCUCCAUCCUCAUUUCCAGUGA